CUCUUGAAUGGUGCCAAUCUUGGCUUCCACCCACCUGGCAAACCAACUUAACCUACGCCAGCAAAAGCAACAGUUAAAGCUAAUUUAGCAGGAACAAAUGUAAGGCAAACAACUCCAGGCUUUCGGGAACAGAAAAAAGUUCUCCGGUGGAUCAAUAACUAAUUCAAAGUAGUGGACCCAGCACUCUGGAGUGGCAGCCUAUAUUCAUCAAAUAAGACUGCAACUGUUAACUCCCUACUCGCUGCCCUACCCGUUCGUCUUUGCUCCUCCUUUUCUUUGCUCUUCCGCUUCUCUCCUCCGCCUCCUCAACUUCUUUUCUAGAGCCCUCUCCUCUUUUUCCUGACCUUCCUAAAAUGGUUGUAUUUUACAGCCCUUUGCGGCUGAUGAAGGCUUCAAAACCUAAAAAGCAAACAGAUGCUCCCUAACACCUAGCUGAGAAUAUUUUAACUCACUACAAAGGCCUUUCAAAACCCCAUUCAAAAUUUCCCACCAACAAGAAGAGAACCAGUAUUUCCCUCUGGAGCCGUCCUAAGGCUGUUCUCCCUGGAGCAGUGUCGGAGCGAUUUUGGACUCUUCUCAGAGCUGCUCAGCUUGUCUGCCUUCGCCCAGUUGAGAAGCCCAUCGUGGAUUCGAAGUAUGUGGUCACUACAGACACUAGAAUCCCCAGAUUCCUCUUUUCUUUUUUUUUUCUUUUUUUUGAGACCGAGUGCAAUGGCGUGAUCUCGGCUCACCGCAACCUCCGUCUUCCAGGUUCAAGCAAUUCUCCUGCCUCAGCCUCCCGAGUAGCUGAGAUUACAGGCAUGCACCUCCACGCCCGGCUAAUUUUGUAUUUUUAGUAGAGAAGGGGUUUCUCCGUGUUGAGGCUGGUCUCGAACUCCUGACCUCAGGUGAUCCGCCCACCUCGGCCUCCCAAAGUACUGGGAUUACAGGCGUGAGCCACCGCGCCCGGCCCAGAUUCCUCUUUUCUUGAUGAAUUUGGGGUGAAUGGAGAUGAUUUCUGGAAUCAGUUACCGUAAAAGGACAGUAGCCGCUGUGGCGAUUUAGAAGUUCAUGUUUCCAUGGUAGCUAAGCGAGAGGGUUAAAUAAAAACACAGCGCCCAACGUGGGGCUCGAACCCACGACCCUGAGAUUAAGAGUCUCAUGCUCUACCGACUGAGCUAGCCGGGCACUGAUUACUGGCGUCUUCUUAUAUGGAAUCAUUUUCCACUGACGGAGCGGUUGUAUGAUCUAAUUGCAUAUUAUUGCGUGUGAAAGAAGUUUCAGGACCUAGGACUGGUGGACACGGCAGUAGCCUUUUCAUAAUAGCUUUUUGCCAUGAAGGAAUUCGGGGUUUAGAGAGCGAUGGGGGCUGCAGAGAGCCAGGAAGUCUCGCGGAGGACUCGGGAAUCACGAGUCCUGCCUGAAACCUUAGUGUUUUCCGCACAUUCCUUCCACUGAGGGAACCUCCUCACCCACUUCAGAGGAGGGUGCGAAAGAGCCCAAGGAAACUCAGAUGAGAGGCGCAAAGACCUCUCUGCAAAGCAUUUUAAUUCUCCAUCCUGGAAGAGGCACUGAGUUCCAGAGUCACAAGGGAAGGGUUCUCUCCUCUGCUCAAGUGAAGGCCAAAAGAACAACCGUGGUCCCAGCUCCGUGGGCCUCCAUAUCGCUCUAAAGCUUCCCGCCUGGGCUGCUUAGCACCUUGGUGGGCGAGCCGCAGUGUGAGCCAACUG
This 1709-nucleotide long non-coding RNA is filed under the name Homo sapiens (human). RNAcentral describes it as "non-protein coding lnc-HFE2-1:1". Lineage: Eukaryota; Metazoa; Chordata; Mammalia; Primates; Hominidae. The record is from RNAcentral.